GACGAACGCUGGCGGCGUGCUUAACACAUGCAAGUCGAACGGAAAGGCCCUGCUUUUGUGGGGUGCUCGAGUGGCGAACGGGUGAGUAACACGUGAGUAACCUGCCCUUGACUUUGGGAUAACUUCAGGAAACUGGGGCUAAUACCGGAUAGGAGCUCCUGCUGCAUGGUGGGGGUUGGAAAGUUUCGGCGGUUGGGGAUGGACUCGCGGCUUAUCAGCUUGUUGGUGGGGUAGUGGCUUACCAAGGCUUUGACGGGUAGCCGGCCUGAGAGGGUGACCGGCCACUUUGGGACUGGGAACCGGCCCCGACCCCUGCGGGGGGGAGCGGGGGGGAAUUUUGCACAAUGGGCGGACGCCUGAUGCAGCAACGCCGGGGGGGGGAUGACGGCCUUCGGGUUGUAAACCGCUUUCGCCUGUGACGAAGCGGGGGUGACGGUAAUGGGUAAAGAAGCACCGGCUAACUCCGU
RNAcentral lists this ribosomal RNA (467 nucleotides) under uncultured bacterium. RNAcentral describes it as "partial 16S ribosomal RNA". It matches the Rfam family "Bacterial small subunit ribosomal RNA", at positions 28 to 506 of the family's 1533-position model. The record is from RNAcentral.